Molecule: long non-coding RNA, 1396 nt
Filed under: Sorghum bicolor (sorghum)
Lineage: Eukaryota; Viridiplantae; Streptophyta; Magnoliopsida; Poales; Poaceae
Description: long non-coding RNA (SBIC_LNC001481)
Source: RNAcentral
CCAACCGGGACUAAAGAUCUCUUUUGUCCCGGGCACCAAAAAUACCGGGACUAAAGCUCAUUUGGCACAUCGACGAAAGGUCUGUUCUCUAGUAGUGUGACGCGGACUCUUGAGAUAAUAUGGAUAGCUAGAAGCCUAUUCUAAACUGAAUAUAAAUAGAAAUCAUGAUCAAAUGGAAAAGGAAAAACAAAAACAAAAAUAAGAUAAAUCUUACCCUGAAUAUUAAACCAUAUGACUCCUCCCUUUGGUUUUGUGGACGGUUGGUGUACAUUAUGUUUAUCGUGGGCUGGUUUGGCGGACGUAUAUGGCAACAAUUAUCUCAUGCUAUCUCUCUCUUGGAUUGUACAUUUCCUUUCCUAUUCCAACAUCAAUUACCUCAUGCUAUCUCUAGAAUGUACAUUUCCUUUCCUAUUCCAAUACGCGGUCUUUGAAUACUUAUAUAUACAAUUCCUUUCCUAUUCCAAUACACCAUCUUCAAAUACUUAAUUAUAUAUAAUGCAACUAUUGAAUUAACAAAAUUAUCGUGUCAUAUCUUUAUUGUUACAUCAUCUCAAAAAAUAUCUUUAGCAUUAUAUAGGAUGUUCCAAAUUUGCUUUUCUAUUAUUUUUUCCAUGCCACUUAUUUUUGGAUGGAUUUAUUUCCCUCACAUGAUGUUUCUAUGUUUUCCUUACGUAAUAUUUUCCUUUUAAUUUUCCAUGUUUUUUAUAAGAUUUUUUGUUCCUUCUUCCUCCACCGUAUAUGGUGCUAUCAGAUUCUGUAUGGGACAUGCUUUUUUUUGUUUUUCUCAAGGUGGUUUCCAAUAUUUGUUUGGUAGUUUUCUUUGGUUAGGUGAUUUUUAUUUGUUUUCUAUGGGAAUCAAUGUUUUUGUUUAGUUUUGUAAAUGUUUUUAAUGAAAUAGGUAAACUAGAAGUAAUGAGAUAAAUCUCAAACGUACUUAUGUAUGUUGAUGGUAGUUAACAUCCAUCAUGAGUCGUCAACAUAACUUGAAAUAAAUGCAUAAAUGAAAUCACCAGCAUAGAAUUAGGGUUUUUUUUUAACAAAUUCCACGAGUUUUGAUGAAUCAAUGUUUCACAAGGGUUAAACGGGAAAAAAGCCACAAAUAACCCACACGUCGACCUAAAAAGCAUAUUCCACGCGAGAUCCAACUUGAGGCGGAUCUAGAAGAUAUGAGAAGGCAAGCCACCAAAGGAGGGGCCCACCAGGCAUAGGGCCAAGUCAUUCGACCCCACCCCCAGGUCAGCCAACAUGUGGGUCCCCUGUCAGUCAUAGUCUUCGCAAGUCGGUUCUUCACCACCAUAAAAAUUACAUCUACACCCUUGAUUGAUGUCAAUUUGAUUCGAGGGCUCUGGUUCGUCGCUUUGGUCUAUAUAUAUAAACAACUUUGUACCCCUUGAGC